GUUGAAACACCAGUUCCCGUACGAUCAUCGAAGUUAAGCAAAGUCGAGCCUGAUCAGUACCUAGAUGGGUGACCGCUUGGGAAUACCAGGUACAGUA
This 97-nucleotide ribosomal RNA is filed under the name Acanthosepion pharaonis. Lineage: Eukaryota; Metazoa; Mollusca; Cephalopoda; Sepiida; Sepiidae. The record is from RNAcentral.